CCUGAAGCAUUUAUGUUCGGGAUUGUAGGGAAAGAUCUGCCCAAAAAGCUGAAAAACAUAUUUAUGUAUGCGACAACGGCCGCCAGAGUUUUAAUAGCAAAGGAUGGAAGACUGAAGAAACCCCAACUAAAGAAUCAUGGCAAGAAAAAUUGAUGGACUAUGCAGAACUGGCAAAACUGACAUAUAAGCUACGGGACAAGGAUAACUGUGACUUUAAAGAUGAAUGGGAACCCUUUACAAAGUAUUUGAAGAUGCAACAAAGCGAAUUGGACUCCUUGGCUGGCUUUGAAUAAACAUUCACAAACUUGAUAAUAAUCACCUAAAUAGUUUGAGGAUCUAUACAACUCUGUAACAUGCAGAAAACAGCAUUCUCAGAGAAACCAAAGACUGGAAAAGAGGGAAGCCGGGGGGGGGGGUUGUCUGGGGGGGGAGGGAGGAAAAAUGGGGGGGGAAUAAGGAUGAUAUGUUUCUGGAUAAUAUGUUUUGUUUUAAUUUUGAAUAAAAAAAUAUUUUAAAAAAGGGUUGUGGAAGAUCAAAAUGGUUGGCCUCCUUUUGCUGCCUUGAUGUCUUCCUGCUAUUCUGUUAUGCCCUGAAUGAUCCCAUUGGGAAAUAAUCUUUCCCCCAUCCUCUCCCUCUCUCUUCCAUGGAUGAAUAGCUCUGCCCUGCUGCUGUUGCCAUAACAGAUUCUGUCUUUCAAGACGCUCUGCUAUUCCCCUUCUUUUCAGGGUAAAAUGAAGGUGAUUCACACACACACACCCCCCAUGGUCCUCAAACGCACCCGCGCUCAGUGUUAAUUCAAGUCAGCAUCCCGUAGUGGGAGCCCAUAGAGUUGGGGUCAUAUGAGCCUGUUUCCUGCUGUCACCACGGUGACCUCCAAGAUUCUAACUGGCCAGAGGAUGUUAUAAUUCAAAAGGUGGUGCAGAGUGAUGGGCAGUUGGCUUAAACAGAAGGUGCCAGGACUGAAAAGACGUCCGUUAGGGGAAGAGCAGCUGAAGUGAUGACAAGUUUGAGUCACAACAAGCCCUACGAUGCCCUGGUUGGUAGAUAAAGGUAAAGGGACCCCUGACCAUUAGGUCCAGUCGUGGCCGACUCUGGGGUUGCGGCGCUCAUCUCGCUUUACUGGCCAAGGGAGCCGGCGUACAGCUUCUGGGUCAUGUGGCCAGCAUGACUAAGCCGCUUCUGGCGAACCAGAGCAGCGCACAGAAACGCCGUUUACCUUCCCGCUGGAGCGGUACCUAUUUAUCUACUUGCACUUUGAAGUGCUUUCAAACUGCUAGGUGAGCAGGAGCUGGGACUGAACAAUGGGAGCUCACCCCGUCACGGGGAUUCGAACCGCCGACCUUCUGAUCGGCAAUCCCUAGGCUCUGUGGUUUAGACCACAGCACCACCCACAUCCCUUCAGAGAUAAUUAUGUGGUGCCCCCCCAAAAAAUUUGACCAGCUUAAUCUGGCUACCUAGUGAAGUCACAGGCACCGGCUAAAUCUUACGCCUAUUAAGCUCACCUGUUUCUAAAAUUCGGUGAGAUAGGGGUUACAACAGCAACAAUGGUCAUCAUUCAUCAAAAGAACAAUUGCUAUUUCUGGCUCUCACAUGAGAGCAGAAUCUAACCAAACUGCUUUUGGUUCUGGAUCAAUGUGGAUCAUUUAUGGAUAUUUACUUAUUUAUCUACUACUUUUCCUCCCAAUGUUUUGUUUUGUUGAUCCCUGGAAACUCUUGGUACAUAGGCUGCUUUGGACAAGUGCAAUGUACAUUAUUCUACAAAAUGCAAUAUAGAUUGACCAUAGUACUGAAAAUAAAAAUGUGAUUUUGAAGGAGCCUCAGACUUCAUCGGCACAUCUAGUGAAAAAUAUAUUCAAGACUAAGUCCCAUUGAAGGCCAUUGAAUGGGCCUUAGUAAUGUCUUAUCUAAACCUCAUGGGGGGCACUGGGACCUUGACUAAUUGGGGUGGCUUUUUAAGGGAAUCCCCCUUUCUCCCUUUUCUCUUGCUGUCUAUCACAGCAUCCACUUGCAUCUAUGUUACCGUCUCUAAGUUGUCCAAUGAUUUCAUUGAUUCCCCAGCUAUAAAUCCUUAACUUCUCAGCUGGCUUCAUGGGACAAUGAAGCAGAACAUGUGGACAUCUCAAUGGCACAAUUUCCUACCUGCCAUGUUGAUAGGAAUGCUGAAAUAACACAAAUAGGCUAAGCCGAGAGCACUCCUCGCUUACUGAUCGAGCGUCCGGUAAGAAGUGGACAACGGAAUAGCGAUGAUGCAAAGUUGUUUCUUGCUGUCUCUAUGGUAACCCUGCAGAGUGUGAGGGAGGGGCUAGGAGAAUAUUGGAAUCAGAAUCAGAUAGUGUCAACAUGGAAGGUGGAAGAGCAGCCCAGGGGUGAGAAAAGGGUGAUCCGUUCACCUUUCCUGGUUGACCACUGAUCUUCACACCCUCCAACAACUCUCUCAUGAAAAUAGGAACACUCUAUUCUAUUAUGACUAUGACUAUGAUUAUUUGUACCCCACCCAUCUGACUGGGUUGCUCCAGCCACUCUGGGCGGCUUCCAACAUAUAUAAAAACAUAAUAAAACAUUGAACAUUAAAAAAAACUUCCCCUAUACAAGGCUGCCUUUCGGUGUCUUCUAAAGGUUGUAUAGUUACUUAUCUCCUUGGCUUCGGGGUCGCAUAACUCCAUACCUGCUCCAACAUUCCUCCGAGAAAAAAUGAGGACGUCCUAAGGCAAAGCGGGACAUUCUGGGAUAAAAUCAGAAACUGGGACGGCUUCUGUAAAUCCAGGACUGUCCCUGGAAAAUAGGGGCACUUAGAGGGGCUGCCAUUUUCUGCCUGAGGCAGCAAAAUGUCUCAGACUAGCCCCAAAGAGGGGUGCUAGGCCAUAAAAUCAGCAUGGAAGCCAGAUAGCUUUCUGUGCAGCAGAUAAUAUAUACACCCAGAAAGAUCCUUGUGCUGAUUCUGUAGUCAUGAGCAUGACUAGGUGCUCAUGAAAGUGGCUUUCAGACUGUCCACUCCUCGAAGCAAUGACAUUCAGAGCAACUGAACAGGUCUAAGUGGC
Molecule: long non-coding RNA, 3038 nt
Filed under: Podarcis lilfordi (Lilford's wall lizard)
Lineage: Eukaryota; Metazoa; Chordata; Lepidosauria; Squamata; Lacertidae
Source: RNAcentral